GGAGGGGCUGGUAGCUCGGUGGUAAAGAAUCUGCUUUGCAUGCAAAAGACCCCAGGUUCAAUCCCUGGCGUCUCCA
Molecule: non-coding RNA, 76 nt
Organism: Podarcis lilfordi (Lilford's wall lizard)
Lineage: Eukaryota; Metazoa; Chordata; Lepidosauria; Squamata; Lacertidae
Source: the annotation of a GenBank genome assembly